Molecule: ribosomal RNA, 253 nt
Filed under: uncultured bacterium
Lineage: Bacteria
Description: partial 16S ribosomal RNA
Rfam family: Bacterial small subunit ribosomal RNA
Source: RNAcentral
UACGUAGGGUGCGAGCGUUAAUCGGAAUUACUGGGCGUAAAGCGUGCGCAGGCGGUUGGUUAAGUCAGAUGUGAAAGCCCCGGGCUCAACCUGGGAAUUGCAUUUGAAACUGGCCAACUAGAGUACGUGAGAGGGGGGUAGAAUUCCAAGUGUAGCGGUGAAAUGCGUAGAGAUUUGGAGGAAUACCAGUGGCGAAGGCGGCCCCCUGGGAUAACACUGACGCUCAUGCACGAAAGCGUGGGGAGCAAACAGG